This 76-nucleotide transfer RNA is filed under the name candidate division Kazan bacterium RBG_13_50_9. RNAcentral's name for it is "tRNA-Ala". It matches the Rfam family "tRNA". Rfam says of the family: Transfer RNA (tRNA) molecules are approximately 80 nucleotides in length. Their secondary structure includes four short double-helical elements and three loops (D, anti-codon, and T loops). Further hydrogen bonds mediate the characteristic L-shaped molecular structure. tRNAs have two regions of fundamental functional importance: the anti-codon, which is responsible for specific mRNA codon recognition, and the 3' end, to which the tRNAs corresponding amino acid is attached (by aminoacyl-tRNA synthetases). tRNAs cope with the degeneracy of the genetic code in two manners: having more than one tRNA (with a specific anti-codon) for a particular amino acid; and 'wobble' base-pairing, i.e. permitting non-standard base-pairing at the 3rd anti-codon position. The record is from RNAcentral.
GGGCCUGUGGCGUAGUUGGUAGCGCGCCUCCAUGGCAUGGAGGAGGUCAGGGGUUCGAAUCCCCUCAGGUCCACCA